AAUAUUGGACAAUGGGGGCAACGCUGAUCCAGCCAUGCCGCGUGUGUGAAUAAUGUCUUCGGAUUGUAAAGCACUUUAAUUUGGGAGGAAGGGCUUUAGGUUAAUACCCUGAAGUUUUGACGUUACCAACAGAAUAAGCACCGGCUAACUCUGUGCCAGCAGCCGCGGUAAUACAGAGGGUGCAAGCGUUAAUCGGAAUUACUGGGCUUAAGGCGCGCGUAGGUGGUUCAGUAAGAUGGGAGUGAAAUUCCCGGGCUUAACCUGUGAACUGCUUUCAUGACUGCUAAGCUAGAGUACGGUAGAGGGUAGUGGAAUUUCCUGUGUAGCGGUGAAAUGCGUAGAUAUAGGAAGGAACACCAGUGGCGAAGGCGACUACCUGGACUGUUACUGACACUGAGGUGCGAAAGCGUGGGGAGCAAAC
Molecule: ribosomal RNA, 421 nt
Filed under: uncultured bacterium
Lineage: Bacteria
Description: partial 16S ribosomal RNA
Rfam family: Bacterial small subunit ribosomal RNA
Source: RNAcentral